Molecule: long non-coding RNA, 550 nt
Filed under: Mus caroli (Ryukyu mouse)
Lineage: Eukaryota; Metazoa; Chordata; Mammalia; Rodentia; Muridae
Description: lncRNA (MGP_CAROLIEiJ_G0003331.1)
Source: RNAcentral
AGAUGUGGUCAGUUCCAUUGGGAAGUGGGGUUUUCAUCAGCAGGGACUCUGCGGCAACUCACCUGCUUUCUGCUCCAAGAGUCCAGCACCCUGAGAUCCUGAUGCCAGGGUAAGCUGGGGGACUGCUCAUAGCCAAAGAUGCAGGUAACAGCUCUGUCAUCUAUGGCUCAAACGUCACUCACCAGGGAGUUGCUGCAGACCUGUAUGUAUCCUUAUCAGAGAAAUAGANGCUAUUGAGAACCUAAGCCGGUGCCUCAUGGAUAAGGAAACUCCAUGGAAGUUAGAGCUGCCCUGUAAUUUGCAUCCCCCAUAUCUUAGAAACCAGAAUGAAAGGUCUACAGCAGAGACUGAAGAGAGGAAGGCUCAUCACUUGGACCACCAAAGAACUAAGAAAGGUCUCAAGAUCCCUCUGCUAUGGUUAAAUCUAGUCAAGCAACCCAUCCCAGCAAGAGGCAGGAGGCGGUUCAGAGAGUCAUCAAAGCCAUUUUCACAAGGUAGACAUAGGACUGGGGGAAUUAAAGGUUUUCAUGGCCUCACUUGCCAACCUGCC